CACUUGGAAACAGGUGCUAAUACCGCAUAACCAUAGUUACCGCAUGGUAACUAUGUAAAAGGUGGCUAUGCUACCGCUUUUGGAUGGGCCCGCGACGCAUUAGCUAGUUGGUGGGGUAAAGGCUUACCAAGGCAAUGAUGCGUAGCCGAACUGAGAGGUUGAUCGGCCACAUUGGGACUGAGACACGGCCCAAACUCCUACGGGAGGCAGCAGUAGGGAAUCUUCCACAAUGGGCGAAAGCCUGAUGGAGCAACGCCGCGUGGGUGAAGAAGGUCUUCGGAUCGUAAAACCCUGUUGUUAGAGAAGAAAGUGCGUGAGAGUAACUGUUCACGUUUCGACGGUAUCUAACCAGAAAGCCACGGCUAACUACGUGCCAGCAGCCGCGGUAAUACGUAGGUGGCAAGCGUUAUCCGGAUUUAUUGGGCGUAAAGAGAACGCAGGCGGUCUUUUAAGUCUGAUGUGAAAGCCUUCGGCUUAACCGGAGUAGUGCAUUGGAAACUGGGAGACUUGAGUGCAGAAGAGGAGAGUGGAACUCCAUGUGUAGCGGUGAAAUGCGUAGAUAUAUGGAAGAACACCAGUGGCGAAAGCGGCUCUCUGGUCUGUAACUGACGCUGAGGUUCGAAAGCGUGGGUAGCAAACAGGAUUAGAUACCCUGGUAG
Molecule: ribosomal RNA, 659 nt
Filed under: uncultured bacterium
Lineage: Bacteria
Description: bacterial SSU rRNA
Rfam family: Bacterial small subunit ribosomal RNA
Source: RNAcentral